AAAUUUAAAUCCUUAUAUUGCUUCAGGGUCAAGAUUGACUGUUGCUUCCUGCUUGAAAUCUUUGUUGAUUACCCAACUCUCCUCUUCUCAUUACCUUAUACUUACUCAUCUGUGUAUAUUUUAUAUCUUCUCAGAGGAUUACAAGCUCCAUAAGAUUGUAGACUAUUCUGUAUAUUGUUGUACACUUUAUCCAGUGUAGCAUUAUCAUAGUGGGUACAUACUUGUUAAAUAUUUCAUGACAGUUUUUUUGUCUUCCUUCAAGUUUUACAUAUAAAUGCCCACAGAAUCUUCCUUCACUUGGGCUUAUGAAGAGAUGACCGCAGUUUACUGAAUAUUUGAGUGGCAAGAAUGUAACUAAGAAAUGUCUUUAUAGACAUGGAAAUCAAGGUGAUCAAGGAUAGAAUGCAUUAUGUGUGAACAAGUAGCUGGACAAUUUGACUGCCAGGAAGACUGUGAAAAUGUAUGACUUGGAAGAAGAAUGAAAGGUACUGGAAGAUGGUUGAUGGCUAUCAUUCUAAAAGAAAAUUUGAAGGCUUUCAACUGAAAGAGCAUAGCCAUCAGGGAUCAUGAGACCUGGGUUGAGACAUCUGUCAGAGAUUAUAUAUCCAGUGAAUUAUGCCCAGAAAAAGGCCAUACAAUAAGCUAAGACCAAUAUGAAGAAGACAGAGGGAGAAUAGUUCCAUAAAAUCAAUGAAAUAAUUUGGUAGAUUUGCUGUGCUGGAAAAAUUUUCUAUGUGUUUACCCUGGCUAUAAAUUUUCUUUCUAUCUGAACCCCCUCAACAUUUGUUCCAAUUUCCAU
Molecule: long non-coding RNA, 799 nt
Filed under: Sarcophilus harrisii (Tasmanian devil)
Lineage: Eukaryota; Metazoa; Chordata; Mammalia; Dasyuromorphia; Dasyuridae
Description: lncRNA (ENSSHAG00000029180.1)
Source: RNAcentral